This 253-nucleotide ribosomal RNA is filed under the name uncultured bacterium. Its description in RNAcentral is "partial 16S ribosomal RNA". It matches the Rfam family "Bacterial small subunit ribosomal RNA", at positions 524 to 776 of the family's 1533-position model. The record is from RNAcentral.
UACGGGGGGGGCAAGCGUUGUUCGGAAUUACUGGGCGUAAAGGGUUUGUAGGUGGCCUGCUAAGUCAGACGUGAAAUCCCUCGGCUUAACCGGGGAACUGCAUCUGAUACUGGAUGGCUUGAGAUUGGGAGAGGGAUGCGGGAUUCCAGGUGUAGCGGUGAAAUGCGUAGAUAUCUGGAAGAACACCGGUGGCGUAGGCGGCUCUCUGGGCCAAUACUGACGCUGAGGCGCGAAAGCCAGGGGAGCAAACGGG